GACACGACUCUCGGCAA
RNAcentral lists this ribosomal RNA (17 nucleotides) under Angraecum aff. germinyanum MSD-2018. RNAcentral describes it as "partial 5.8S ribosomal RNA". Lineage: Eukaryota; Viridiplantae; Streptophyta; Magnoliopsida; Asparagales; Orchidaceae. The record is from RNAcentral.